This 327-nucleotide ribosomal RNA is filed under the name uncultured eukaryote. RNAcentral describes it as "partial 18S ribosomal RNA". It matches the Rfam family "Eukaryotic small subunit ribosomal RNA", at positions 1470 to 1796 of the family's 1831-position model. The record is from RNAcentral.
CCCUUAGAUGUUCUGGGCCGCACGCGCGCUACACUGACGAAUGCAACGAGCUUAUAACCUUGGCCGAAAGGUCUGGGUAAUCUCCAAAUUUCGUCGUGAUGGGGAUAGAUUAUUGCAAUUAUUAAUCUUCAACGAGGAAUGCCUAGUAAGCGCAAGUCAUCAGCUUGCGUUGAUUACGUCCCUGCCCUUUGUACACACCGCCCGUCGCUACUACCGAUUGAAUGGUUUAGUGAGAACUCGGGACUGGCACUAAGGGGCUGGCAACAGCCUAUUAGAGCCGGGAACUUGCUCAAACUUGAUCAUUUAGAGGAAGUAAAAGUCGUAACA